GUCGAACGGGCGUAGCAAUACGUCAGUGGCAGACGGGUGAGUAACGCGUGGGAACAUACCUCUUGGUUCGGAACAACACAGGGAAACUUGUGCUAAUACCGGAUAAGCCCUUACGGGGAAAGAUUUAUCGCCGAGAGAUUGGCCCGCGUCUGAUUAGCUAGUUGGUGGGGUAAAGGCCUACCAAGGCGACGAUCAGUAGCUGGUCUGAGAGGAUGAUCAGCCACAUUGGGACUGAGACACGGCCCAAACUCCUACGGGAGGCAGCAGUGGGGAAUAUUGGACAAUGGGCGCAAGCCUGAUCCAGCCAUGCCGCGUGAGUGAUGAAGGCCCUAGGGUUGUAAAGCUCUUUUGUACGGGAAGAUAAUGACGGUACCGUAAGAAUAAGCCCCGGCUAACUUCGUGCCAGCAGCCGCGGUAAUACGAAGGGGGCUAGCGUUGCUCGGAAUCACUGGGCGUAAAGGGUGCGUAGGCGGGUUUUUAAGUCAGAGGUGAAAUCCUGGAGCUCAACUCCAGAACUGCCUUUGAUACUGAAAGUCUUGAGUAUGGGAGAGGUGAGUGGAACUGC
RNAcentral lists this ribosomal RNA (565 nucleotides) under Tardiphaga sp. Its description in RNAcentral is "bacterial SSU rRNA". It matches the Rfam family "Bacterial small subunit ribosomal RNA", at positions 61 to 670 of the family's 1533-position model. The record is from RNAcentral. Lineage: Bacteria; Pseudomonadati; Pseudomonadota; Alphaproteobacteria; Hyphomicrobiales; Nitrobacteraceae.